This 253-nucleotide ribosomal RNA is filed under the name uncultured bacterium. Its description in RNAcentral is "partial 16S ribosomal RNA". It matches the Rfam family "Bacterial small subunit ribosomal RNA", at positions 524 to 776 of the family's 1533-position model. The record is from RNAcentral.
GACGGAGGGGGCUAGCGUUGUUCGGAAUUACUGGGCGUAAAGAGUGCGUAGGCGGAUCGGUAAGUUGAAAGUGAAAUCCCGGGGCUCAACCUCGGAAUUGCUUUCAAAACUGUCGGUCUAGAGUAUAAUAGGGGACGAUGGAAUUCCUAGUGUAGAGGUGAAAUUCUUAGAUAUUAGGAGGAACACCGGCGGCGAAAGCGGUCGUCUGGGUUAUAACUGACGCUGAGGCACGAAAGCGUGGGGAGCAAACAGG